UACGUAGGAUGCGAGCGUUAUCCGGAUUUAUUGGGUUUAAAGGGUGCGUAGGCGGCCUUGUAAGUCAGCGGUGAAAUUUUGCAGCUUAACUGUAAAAGUGCCGUUGAUACUGCAUGGCUAGGAUUUGGUUGCUGUGGGUGGAAUGUGUGGUGUAGCGGUGAAAUGCUUAGAUAUCACACAGAAUAUCGAUUGCGAAGGCAGCUCACAAAGCCAAGAUUGACGCUGAGGCACGAAAGCGUGGGGAUCAAACAGGA
Molecule: ribosomal RNA, 254 nt
Filed under: uncultured prokaryote
Description: partial 16S ribosomal RNA
Rfam family: Bacterial small subunit ribosomal RNA
Source: RNAcentral